Long non-coding RNA from Clupea harengus (Atlantic herring), 2275 nucleotides. The record is from Ensembl. Lineage: Eukaryota; Metazoa; Chordata; Actinopteri; Clupeiformes; Clupeidae.
GUAAGUGUGGGACUCAUAUUAAAUUGAUCAAGGGCAUUCUUAAACUUUGGCUUGUUUUUCCUGCUCCCGCACGCCAAUGCUUUCUGCGUGUGACACGACCACAGCCCCACGGUAUUAAUAAAAGUGUGUUUGAUUAAGGUUGUAUUCCCGCCGCUAAGAUAUUAAAUUUACACUAUGACUAAACAAGACUGUCCAAUGCUGCAGAGUCAUAACAGAAAAGUAGGAUAGAUGCAUGAAAUGAAUUCAAGUAUGCGUGCCUCGUUUCGUUCUAACAGACCAUAAUGUACGGACAGAAAAAGGCCCAAAAGGAAGGGGGGAGCUGGAGGCCUAGUUAAUGGGACGAUCCCGAACGUUUAAAAUACUGCUAGUUACAGUCCACAAGUCGCUGGGAAACGAUUCAGUUUAGCUCACACUCCUACAGGCACUACGUCACAGGACAGACAACGCUGUUCAGAAAGAAAUAACUUGUUUUGCGUUUCUUAAAAAAAAAAAAAAAAAAAAAAAGGGAUACCAAUAACAUCAAUAAUAAUAAAAAAAAACCAAACAGAACAUCUGGUCAUCCAUCACUAUGUUUUUUUUCCAACAUCCAACAUGUCCCAGUAGUGUCCCCAUGCUUUGAUACAGGGUGAGGGGACACGUGACACGUCAAAGGUCCCCCCACGGUGUCCUGUGCCCACUCUCCCAAAUCACUUGUCUCCUUCUAGAAAGUCUGUUCACACUCAGAGGAAUGUCUCUGUACACGUCAGUUCAUGGACCCUCACACUCCACGCAUGGGAGUGUGUGUUGGUGUAUCAGAAGUCUCUUUGUGGAUAUGACUUGGUAUAUAUAUGUGUGUGUGUGUGUGUGUGUGUGUGUGUGUGUGGGAGGGGGUGGGGGUGGGAUGGGUUGUGUAGACACGUUAAAUUUGCCUGACUCCAUGUGGACCCUUCCUAACAUACCUUAAAAGACGCUGUUGCUCAUGUCAGCAUGCUGCCCAACACCAACACAUCCACAUGGAACACACUAGAACUCAGACAGGUGGUGGAACAAGGGCCAUAGUCUUUCAGUAUGCAUGUGUGUGUUUGUCUGUCUGUCUGUCUGUCUGUCUGUCUGUGUGUCUGUCUGUCUGUAUGUGUGUGUGUGUGUAUGUAUGUGUAUGUGUAGGUAUACAAACAUGUAUGCACACAACUGUGUACAUUUGUAUUUGUGAAUGUGUGUGGUUGAGAGAGUGAGAGAGAGAGAGAGAGAGAAUGUACAUCUAUAUAUUAUAUAUACUCUUUCGUAACUGAGUGUAUGUGUACAACAUGAACAUGUUUAUGUAUGUUUGCAUGGAUGUAUAGGGCUCGCUGCGUGGAUGUGUAUGUAUAGGUCUCCGUCAGUGUGUAAGAAUGGACACACACACACGCAAGUGCGUGUGUAUGCGUGUGCGCGCGCGCUUGUGUGUGUGUGUGUGUGUGUGUGUGUGUGUGUGUGUGUGUGUGUGUGGUGGUAGCAAGCUAGCAGACAGCGGCUCCGUUGGCCUCGCGGCGGCCCUGCUUCUUCAGCAGCUGGAUGCGGUUGUGGCAGUAGAACUUGAUGGCGCGCCAGUCACGCUGGUUGGUCACCAGCAGGGGGCAGAGCUGGAGGCAGCGCUCGCAGUCCGCCUUCGCCGGCACCCGAAGCUCCAUGAUGUUGCGCUUCAGGUGCGUCUCCACAGCCACGCGCUCCGCCUCCGACCACGGCCGCUUCAGCACGCCACGCUUGCCUGGAAGGAACACGACACACACACACACAGACACACACACACACACACAAACAGGCGUAUGAAGGAGACAUUAAGGUUUCAGCACAUUAUAUCAUCCUAACUCCAAUAUACUUUCGCCUUCUGAUGAGUAGAGUUGCAACAGUCUUGGCAAAAGAUGUAAAAUUCCAAAAGCAAGUGUGCUUAACGUACCAUAUCUCACCAUAAUGGACAAACACUGUUUGUGUCAUGUGAUAGCACCUUAUAUGAUAGCAGAUAUUUAGGUAUUUAUGCUACCUUCUGCAGAAAACAAUACUACCCACAGCCAGACAGAUGCAAGGUCUGUUCCUCACCUGAUUUGGGCUGAGCGCUUCUCCUCUUGUGCCCCGCGGGGGUGACUGCAGCAGACUGUGAGCCGCCCCCUUUCUUCUUGGCGGCGGCACUGCCCCCUCCUGCACCCUUCUUGACUACCUCCGGCCGCUCCUUGCCCUUCUCUGCGUCCACGUCCGAGUCGUCCGAGAACGAGUCAGCAGAGUUCCCCGACAUCACUGAGAGAGAGAGAGAGAGAGAGAGAGA